This 551-nucleotide ribosomal RNA is filed under the name uncultured archaeon. RNAcentral describes it as "bacterial SSU rRNA". It matches the Rfam family "Archaeal small subunit ribosomal RNA", at positions 326 to 879 of the family's 1478-position model. The record is from RNAcentral.
CGGGGUGCAGCAGGCGCGAAACCUCUGCAAUAGGCGAAAGCCUGACAGGGUUACUCUGAGUGACUUUCGUUAAGAGAGUCUUUUGGCACCUCUAAAAAGGGUGUAGAAUAAGGGGUGGGCAAGUCUGGUGUCAGCCGCCGCGGUAAUACCAGCACCCCGAGUGGUCGGGACGAUUAUUGGGCCUAAAGCAUCCGUAGCCGGUUCUGCAAGUCCUCCGUUAAAUCCAACUGCUUAACAGAUGGGCCGCGGAGGAUACUACAGAGCUAGGAGGCAGGAGAGGCAAGCGGUACUCAGUGGGUAGGGGUAAAAUCCGUUGAUCCAUUGAAGACCACCAGUGGCGAAGGCGGCUUGCCAGAAUGCGCUCGACGGUGAGGGAUGAAAGCUGGGGGAGCAAACCGGAUUAGAUACCCGGGUAGUCCCAGCCGUAAACGAUGCAGACUCGGUGAUGGGUUGGCUUCGUGCUAACCCAGUGCCGCAGGGAAGCCGUUAAGUCUGCCGCCUGGGUAGUACGGUCGCAAGACUGAACCUUAAAGGAAUUGGCGGGGGAGCAC